Non-coding RNA from Aegilops tauschii subsp. strangulata, 4046 nucleotides. NCBI's taxonomy places the organism in Eukaryota, Viridiplantae, Streptophyta, Magnoliopsida, Poales, Poaceae. The record is from RefSeq and is a predicted model, not a curated record.
UACGGCGUCGCUCCCUCCGUCAAAAUCAUCAGCGAAGAACGGCGACGAAGAUGGCGGCGGCCUCGACGCCGCUUGGCGUCGCUGCUCUCGUACUGGGCUUCGGACUCAGGGCCUCCGCGCUGGCCAUUGGGCGUGGCGGCCCUCGAUCUCGGCCGCCACCUCGCUAGGGGCGGCGGGGCAGCGACCUGGUCCGGACUCCGGAGCUGACGAGUGAGACGUGCAGGAGGUAGUACAACUACAAGGCUUAGCCGCCGAGCCAGAGCCAGAGCCAGAGUCUCCCGAUCUGGCCGCUGUGAGUAAAUGGUCUCUUUUUAAUAACUGAUGAAAUCACUGCAUGUAAGGAUCUCUGUCCUAAGCUGAAUUCUGUAGGCUUGAUAGAUUCACCGAGCCGAACUGAUCUCAGCGACUGCCUGAGUUAUUUUACAGAUAUUAUUAUUAUUAUUACUCCAUCUGAUCCAUGUUAAGUAUCCCUGAUUUAGUACAACUUUAUGAAUCAGAGGGAGUAUUAUGUUUCAUUCCAAGUAUUUUCUUCUGUGACCCUGGCCCCUGGGUGUGGCACAAUAAACCUGUUGGCUUCGGCCUUUAUGUUCUUAUAUUUACUGGGUGCAUGAUUCAGUACUGCUGGACGAUGAAGCCGUGCGAGUCUUUUUGCACAACUGUUGAUCCGCUCUCAUGGCUAGCUAUCUAAAAAUACUCAUUGAUCGUUCAGAUGCACUUACAGAAUAAGUUCACAAAUGAGUACAGAUAAACUCGUUCAUAAGAAAUAAUAUUGCCUGCAUAUUAGUACAGUAGGCAUUACAAAAUAGGUUCAAUUCAACGAUAAAUGCAAUAAAUUUGAUGACAAGCUGAGUAUUAUAUAAAAAUAUUUAAAUGGGAAAUACUAAUCCUGGUCACCCUUGAAUUGUUGCAAGACAUUUUCUAUCAAAUCUGCCUUGAGUUGUCGAUGCAUUGGUCGCUCAUGAAUAGCUGCGUUACGUCAGUGGCAAGUUUAUGAAUUGGGCCUUGGGGUGUGGGAGUACCUUUGACAAUAGGUUUGGGGAUAUUGAGAUUGUAGUGGUAUGCUUGCAUGGUCUGGAUGUGGAUUUGAGGAGUUUGGCCUCAUGUAAUUUGAGAGAUUUCUGUCUCGUGGAUCCAUGAACUGCUAUUCCAAAUGUUCAAAACUUAUGGUUUUUUAGUUGUGUUCAAACUCUCUUUUGUAGGCAGCUGAAUGGAGAGGAGCCUGAAGGAGGCAACGGUAUUUUGCUACAGAGGAAGCAAGCUGCGAUGGCAACCGUUAUUUUCAGCCAACAGACACGGGUGAACAGUGUAAAGUGAUUCCGUGAUUUAUUAUUUUCUUAUAUUUAGUUUGCUGUGGACCAUUUGUGUAUUUGUCAAAUUGCUCUGCUUCCAUUUGAAGAAAAAGUAAAUUCCAUUUUCGAUGAUGUAUUUGAAAUUUUGAUAGUUUGAGCAAUAUUUUGAACUGAAUAUUGUGUAUUGAACUACACUUGAGAAGUUGAGAGCCAAACUGACCAGAUGGGUCAAUUUUUAGACCUGUCAAAAUGUGGUUCAAUUUGGGAUAUCCAGAUUAAAAUGGCAUUGUACUUCUCAUAAUGUAGCUGUUCUUCGAGAUUUGGCUAAUCUUAUGAGCGAUCACAGCUGCUUGCUAACGGCUUGUAAGUGUCUAUUUCUGUGAUUUGAAUUCUUGUACAUUUUAUCAUCGUUUCAGGUUAUGCAGAGGAUCAUUUUUGUUCCAAUCCAGGGAUACAUCAGGAAGCUCGAAGGAAAUCACUAGAAGUACCAGUGAAGAUUGGAUGUUUAAAGCACAGCUACAAACUUGAUCGAGAAUCUAUAAGCCAGCUGGCCUCAGUGUCUCCUGUCUCCUGGGAAGUCAAGCUCAGAUUAGAUUGUCUAGUAGUUUUUUUUGUUGAUAUGGUUACCUAUAGAGCAUGAUAGGUAAUGAGCACAUAAUCUCUUAGGACACCGAAGCCUACACCCACUAAUCUUUGGGGUCGAAGAGGGUGCUUAUGCCAAUAAUCUGGCAGGAGCAUUUUUAUAUCUGAAGAAAAGGCACGAACCAUUGUCCUUUUUUUCGUUUUGAAAGCUUACCUUAUCAGAAGGGCCCAGUGGCUGGAUGAUCGGUACAAGCUUUAUACUGAACUUGGUAAUUAAGCAAGAUGAUACAGAAUUCUGUCCUUGCAGCUUUGGACUUUAUUUUAGUUUUCUAGCUGCAAAUCCAAAGAAACUAUUCUUAGCUCCUCCCUUCUGGAACACUCAUUGCAGAUGAUGCAGAAUUCUGUCCUUCGGCUUUGGACUUUAUUCUAUUUUUUUAUCAAAAGAAACCACUCUUAGUUCCUCUCCUUUGGAACUCCCAUUGCAGAUGAUGCAGAAUUCUGUCCUUUCAGCUUUGGUCUUUAUUUUAUUUAUUUUUGCUGCAAAUCAAAAGAAACUAUUCUUAACUCCUCUCUUUUGAAACUCUCAUCGCAGAUGAUGCAGAAUUCUGCCCUUUCGGCUUUGGACUUUUCUUUUUGCUGCAAAUCGAAAGAAACUAUUCUUAGUUCCUCUCCUUUGGAACUCUCAUUGCAGAUGAUGCAGAAUUCUGUCCUCUCAGCUUUGUCCUUUAUUUUAUUUUUUUGCUGCAAAUCAAAAGAAAUCCUCUCUUUUAAAACUCUCAUCGCAGAUGAUGCAGAAUUCUGCCCUUUCGGCUUUGGACUUUUUUUUUUUGCUGCAAAUCGAAAGAAACUGUUCUUAGUUCCUCUCCUUUGGAACUCUCAUUGCAGAUGAUGCAGAAUUCUGUCCAUUCAGCUUUGUCCUUUAUUUUAUAUUUUUGCUGCAAAUCAAAAGAAAUCCUCUCUUUUGGAACUCUCAUUGCAGAUGAUGCAGAAUUCUGCCCUUUCGGCUUUGGACUUUAUUUUAUAUUUUUGCUGCAAAUUGAAAGAAACUAUUCUUAGUUCCUCUCCUUUGGAACUCUCAUUGCAGAUGAUGCAGAAUUCUGUCCUUUCAGCUUUGGCCUUUAUUUUUUAUUUUUUUUGCUGCAAAUCAAAAGAAAUCCUCUCUUUUGGAACUCCCAUUGUAAAUGAUGCAGAAUUCUGCCCUUUUGGCUUUGGACUUCUUUUUUCUGCAAAUCGAAAGAAACUAUUCUUUGUUCUUUUACUCUUAUUAUUUGGUAAAGGAAAAGGAAAAAGAGAAAGACCAAAGACUGGGCGAUGCCAAUAUUCUAGUCCGAUCGCUUGUACACACCAUAUGAUUAAUGAGCCCCACUUAAAUUUCAGUCUUUUGCAUGUGAAGUAUUGCUCGGAAUCCUAUAAUUGACAUGUUCCCCUUUCUAAUUUCCAGGCCUAUAUCUUGCACAGUCCCAUGCAUCCAGCAAAUAAGGGUUGUGUGGGCUGUCAACCAAGCAUUUUCUUUAUUACCUUGUAUUACUUGCUUUUCAACUCAUUCACUGGAAAAAUAGAAAGAGCACUGCUUGGCAGACGACACUGUGCAGACGAAUUUUGGACGACAAAGGAAUCAAGCCGUCCAUGCAUUGGCAACAGACAGCCACUCACCGCUAGAUAAGGCCAUCGUGCAAUGGUUGUCUACACUAUUUCGUGUGCAGAGCAGUUUUGAAAUAGAAAACUGGUUGUUGCGUUGUGUCUUUUCAAAAUGGCUUGACUAGGCUGCCUAGUUAGUUCAUAAUGCCUGCCUUACAUUUUACCUUGUUUAUAUAGAUAAUAGUUUAUUGCAAAGUGAAGCACACUAUGGUAAGCAAUAAAACAUCAAAUUAUCAAAAUAGAUGUCAAAAUAGAAACAUCCAAUGGACUCCUAAGUUGAUUUUCGUUUUCUAGCGCAACCACUCAAUGGUAUGGUAUACCCGCCAUGACAUGGCGUCAACCUUAUGUUUUUUGCUCCCUAAAGCGGCCAGUCCAUGUGAACUCCAAAAUAAUGUUCCUAAUGAUUACAUCUGGGGAGUAUAGCUGGCUCCUAAAGACGCAAGCAUUUCGGGCAUCCCUGAUUUAUGUGCCACAUCUUUGUGAAUGAAAGAAUUGUUCAAGUUGCAGAUCCAUCCCGACAAGUCACAUAAUUGAAAA